Molecule: long non-coding RNA, 1878 nt
Organism: Lutra lutra (Eurasian river otter)
Lineage: Eukaryota; Metazoa; Chordata; Mammalia; Carnivora; Mustelidae
Exons: 3
Source: RefSeq, a predicted model, not a curated record
CUCGGUGGCGUCUGCUCGGUGGGCCGUCGGGGGUGCGGGGAGCGCGGACGCCCUCGAGGGAAGGCAGGCGGAGCGUUGGGGGGCCCGCUUCUGGAUCUUUCUCCGCCGCCGCCGGGCGACGUGCUCCUGCGGGUACCGGCUGGGCUCCUAGCACACGUUCCCGCAGGAGGCGGGCGGGUGGCCUCAUCAGUCAGGGAAGCCUUCCCUGCCUUUCCAUUAUUUGUAUUCAUAUUGAUUGGUUUAAUGCCUCUCCAGACUACAAAUGCCUCAUCUGGAAGGCUGUGGUCAUCCCAGCUUGCAGCACAAUACCUGGAGAAAAGUCCGUGCCCAAUCAGGAUUUGCUAAGCACAUGAAUGGGACAAGUAACUCUCUUAAAUGAGCAGCUACUGUCACGGAAAAGUGAAGGAAUGACGAUGGGCAGGAGGCGUAGGAAACCGGGAGAAUGCUGACCCUGACCCCACCUCCUGCAUGAAUCAAGGGUGAAUUUAUUACCUGAAAUCGAGAGCGCCUGCUGCUGGCAGAGCAGAAUGCAUGGGAGAAAACCAGACUUCCUUAAAGGCAGUGCCGCUAAAGGGAUUUUCAUGGAGGUGGAAGCUGGAAGGACAAAGGGCACAGAGUUUGGGGAAAAGAGGUAGAGGAGGCAAAAGGUAGGGAGUACCCACAGAGGGGUUGCUGCUGGGCAGUAACUUCAGGGGAGGCAGGAGACUUCCCAGAGUUUCUGAGAAUGAAUCUGCAAACAUUUCUGUUAGACGGAUCUAGCCAGGACAGUGGAAGUCCAUACGCAUGGUCUGGGAUGUUUUUCAGGCAUGCAAGUGAGUUCACAGUGUCUGUGCUGGGCAGGAUAGUGAUACUAAGACCACAGAGAUCCCAGAAGGGGGCCAGUCAUCAUGAGGCUCAUGAACAAAUUCAGCUUCCUUUCCAGUCGUCCUUUACAUCUUCUAAAAUAUUCCAUGACACAAACUCGAAUAGACAAAGUUAACUAUAAUAUACCUAUUUGAUCUGACCUUGAAGUUUGCCUUCACGUUUUAAGUUACAACCUUGGGAAGUAAGGACAAUUUCUUUUAAAAAACCAUGGAGGGGACGCCUGGACUGAAUAGCAAAGAUUUAAGGAAACUCGUCCAUUAGAUCACAAGAUGCAGAACAUUUGUAAAUGAAAACUUACAGAAUCAUGCUCGAGGAUUAGACUAAGCACAGCCUGGUCAUUCUCAUCUUUUUGCGGUGAUGAAUCACGUGCCUCACGCUCUGAAUUCUUACAGUAGUUGUGCCAACAAGAUUUAUUUGCCUGAAGAUCUUUUUCUCAGUAAAUUGCGGGAUAACCCAAACUUUCAUUUUAAUCCAGUCUGAAUUGAAAUGGUUUUAAGCUUAUUUUUAUUUUCACAUGUCUCCUCUGGUGCUACUUUUUACUUUGUGCAUGCUAUCAGAUGUUAACACAGGCCCAUGAACGUGUGGUCUGGGGACUCAUUCCCCAUCGUUAUCCUUCUGUAUUUCAGCAUUAAUAUGAUGUGUUGAUCUUUUACUGUCUAAUAUUCUUAGCUUAUUACCCCAAGCCCACAACUCAAAUUUCAUUUCUGUAUAAUUUGGCUGGGGUUUUGUUGUUGUUGUUGUUUAUUUGUUAACGUAGCUACUAAGGUUAUAACCGAGCUUUUACUGCUCUGAAAUUUAUGAAAUGAUGAGGGCAUAGUCGUUGUUUACAGCUUGGAUAAAAAUGGAGAGCCAUUUGGGUUUUGUACCAUUUCUUCUGGUAAUUUUCUCAAAGGAGUCAGCUGUGUCAAUAGUAGCUGUAAUUAGUAACUGUUUCAGCAACUGUUAUUAGUAACUGUAUCUGUUUUCUGUUGUCAUAAUAAUACUAAUAAAUACAUAACAAGUAUUGUAUGACAA